Molecule: ribosomal RNA, 466 nt
Filed under: uncultured bacterium
Lineage: Bacteria
Description: partial 16S ribosomal RNA
Rfam family: Bacterial small subunit ribosomal RNA
Source: RNAcentral
GACGAACGCUGGCGGCGUGCUUAACACAUGCAAGUCGAACGGUAAGGCUCCAGCUUGCUGGGGUGCACGAGUGGCGAACGGGUGAGUAACACGUGGGUGACCUGCCCUGCACUUCGGGAUAAGCCUGGGAAACUGGGUCUAAUACCGGAUAGGACCAUGGUGUGGAUACUGUGGUGGAAAGUUUUUUCGGUGUGGGAUGGGCCCGCGGCCUAUCAGCUUGUUGGUGGGGUAAUGGCCUACCAAGGCGGCGACGGGUAGCCGGCCUGAGAGGGUGGACGGCCACAUUGGGACUGAGACACGGCCCAGACUCCUACGGGAGGCAGCAGUGGGGAAUAUUGCACAAUGGGCGGAAGCCUGAUGCAGCGACGCCGCGUGGGGGAUGACGGCCUUCGGGUUGUAAACUCCUUUCACCAUCGACGAAGGGUUUCUGACGGUAGAUGGAGAAGAAGCACCGGCUAACUACGUG